This 85-nucleotide ribosomal RNA is filed under the name Bacteroidales bacterium. Its description in RNAcentral is "partial 23S ribosomal RNA". It matches the Rfam family "Bacterial large subunit ribosomal RNA", at positions 2840 to 2925 of the family's 2925-position model. The record is from RNAcentral. Lineage: Bacteria; Pseudomonadati; Bacteroidota; Bacteroidia; Bacteroidales.
GAAGACUACCACGUCGAUAGGCUGUAGGUGUAAAGGCAGUAAUGUCAAAGCCAAGCAGUACUAAUCACCCGAUAGGCUUCUUAUU